This 497-nucleotide ribosomal RNA is filed under the name uncultured bacterium. Its description in RNAcentral is "partial 16S ribosomal RNA". It matches the Rfam family "Bacterial small subunit ribosomal RNA", at positions 28 to 507 of the family's 1533-position model. The record is from RNAcentral.
GAUGAACGCUGGCGGCGUGCCUAAUACAUGCAAGUCGAGCGAACGUACGAGAAGCUUUCUUUUCUGAUGUUAGCGGCGGACGGGUGAGUAACACGUGUAUAACCUACCUAUAAGACUGUUAUAACUUCGGGAAACCGGAGCUAAUACCGGAUAAUAUUUUGCACCUCAUGGUUCACACGUGAAAGACGGUCUUUCUGUCACUUAUAGAUUGAUCCGCGCUGCAUUAGCUAGUUGGUAAGGUAACGGCUUACCAAGGCAACGAUGCAUAGCCGACCUGAGAGGGAGAUCGGGUACACGGGAACAGAGAAACAGCAGAGACACCUACAGGAGGCAGCAGUAGGGAAUCUUCCGCGAGGGGCGAGAGCGUGACGGAGCAAAACCGCGGGAGGGAUGAAGGAGUUAGGAUCGGAAAACGCUGUUAGUAGGAGAGAACAAAAGUGUAAUUAACGGGGAACAUAUUGACGGUACCUAAACAGAAAGCCACGGCUAACUACGUG